GGAUAACUCCGGGAAACCGGAGCUAAUACCGGAUAGUAUCUUGAACCGCAUGGUUCAAGUUGGAAAGACGGUUUCGGCUGUCACUUACAGAUGGGCCCGCGGCGCAUUAGCUAGUUGGUGAGGUAAUGGCUCACCAAGGCAACGAUGCGUAGCCGACCUGAGAGGGUGAUCGGCCACACUGGGACUGAGACACGGCCCAGACUCCUACGGGAGGCAGCAGU
RNAcentral lists this ribosomal RNA (221 nucleotides) under Bacillus sp. 178_5C. Its description in RNAcentral is "partial 16S ribosomal RNA". It matches the Rfam family "Bacterial small subunit ribosomal RNA", at positions 141 to 355 of the family's 1533-position model. The record is from RNAcentral. Lineage: Bacteria; Bacillati; Bacillota; Bacilli; Caryophanales; Bacillaceae.